Molecule: ribosomal RNA, 471 nt
Filed under: Klebsiella pneumoniae
Lineage: Bacteria; Pseudomonadati; Pseudomonadota; Gammaproteobacteria; Enterobacterales; Enterobacteriaceae
Description: bacterial SSU rRNA
Rfam family: Bacterial small subunit ribosomal RNA
Source: RNAcentral
AAAUUGAAGAGUUUGAUCAUGGCUCAGAUUGAACGCUGGCGGCAGGCCUAACACAUGCAAGUCGAGCGGUAGCACAGAGAGCUUGCUCUCGGGUGACGAGCGGCGGACGGGUGAGUAAUGUCUAGGAAACUGCCUGAUGGAGGGGGAUAACUACUGGAAACGGUAGCUAAUACCGCAUAAUGUCGCAAGACCAAAGUGGGGGACCUUCGGGCCUCAUGCCAUCAGAUGUGCCCAGAUGGGAUUAGCUAGUAGGUGGGGUAACGGCUCACCUAGGCGACGAUCCCUAGCUGGUCUGAGAGGAUGACCAGCCACACUGGAACUGAGACACGGUCCAGACUCCUACGGGAGGCAGCAGUGGGGAAUAUUGCACAAUGGGCGCAAGCCUGAUGCAGCCAUGCCGCGUGUGUGAAGAAGGCCUUCGGGUUGUAAAGCACUUUCAGCGGGGAGGAAGGCGUUAAGGUUAAUAACCUC